CGGAGGGUGCGAGCGUUGUCCGGAAUCACUGGGCGUAAAGGGCGCGUAGGCGGCGCGGGCAGUCAACGGUGAAAGCUCGGGGCUCAACCCCGAGUCGGCCGUCGAUACUCCCGUGCUUGAGCACUGUAGAGGCAGGUGGAAUUCCGGGUGUAGCGGUGGAAUGCGUAGAGAUCCGGAAGAACACCGGUGGCGAAGGCGGCCUGCUGGGCAGUAGCUGACGCUGAUGCGCGACAGCGUGGGGAGCAAACAGGAUUAGAUACCCUGGUAGUCCACGCCGUAAACGAUGGGUACUAGAUGCUUGGGGGAGCGACCCUCUGAGUGUCGGCGCUAACGCAUUAAGUACCCCGCCUGGGGAGUACGGCCGCAAGGCUG
RNAcentral lists this ribosomal RNA (372 nucleotides) under uncultured organism. Its description in RNAcentral is "bacterial SSU rRNA". It matches the Rfam family "Bacterial small subunit ribosomal RNA", at positions 526 to 896 of the family's 1533-position model. The record is from RNAcentral.